CGGCAGGCUUAACACAUGCAAGUCGAGGGGCAGCGAGAUGUAGCAAUACAUGUCGGCGACCGGCGCACGGGUGCGUAACGCGUAUGCAACCUACCAUAUACAGGAGGAUAACCAUUCGAAAGAAUGACUAAUACUCCAUAGUAUUAUUUUGAGGCAUCUUAGAAUAAUUAAAGAAUUUCGGUAUAUGCUGGGCAUGCGUGACAUUAGCUAGUUGGAGAGGUAGCGGCUCACCAAGGCUACGAUGUCUAGGGGUUUUGAGAGGAAGAUCCCCCACACUGGUACUGAGACACGGACCAGACUCCUACGGGAGGCAGCAGUGAGGAAUAUUGGUCAAUGGACGGAAGUCUGAACCAGCCAUGCCGCGUGAAGGAAGACUGCCCUAUGGGUUGUAAACUUCUUUUAUACGGGGAUUAAACCUAUCUUUGCGAAGAUAGCUGAAGGUACCGUAUGAAUAAGCAUCGGCUAACUCCGUGCCAGCCGCCGC
This 484-nucleotide ribosomal RNA is filed under the name uncultured bacterium. RNAcentral describes it as "bacterial SSU rRNA". It matches the Rfam family "Bacterial small subunit ribosomal RNA", at positions 40 to 518 of the family's 1533-position model. The record is from RNAcentral.